This 425-nucleotide ribosomal RNA is filed under the name uncultured bacterium. Its description in RNAcentral is "partial 16S ribosomal RNA". It matches the Rfam family "Bacterial small subunit ribosomal RNA", at positions 354 to 796 of the family's 1533-position model. The record is from RNAcentral.
GUGGGGAAUAUUGGACAAUGGGCGCAAGCCUGAUCCAGCCAUGCCGCGUGAGUGAUGAAGGCCCUAGGGUUGUAAAGCUCUUUCACCGGAGAAGAUAAUGACGGUAUCCGGAGAAGAAGCCCCGGCUAACUUCGUGCCAGCAGCCGCGGUAAUACGAAGGGGGCUAGCGUUGUUCGGAAUUACUGGGCGUAAAGCGCACGUAGGCGGACAUUUAAGUCAGGGGUGAAAUCCCGGAGCUCAACUCCGGAACUGCCUUUGAUACUGGGUGUCUGGAGUAUGGAAGAGGUGAGUGGAAUUCCGAGUGUAGAGGUGAAAUUCGUAGAUAUUCGGAGGAACACCAGUGGCGAAGGCGGCCAUCUGGACCAGCACUGACACUGAGGCACGAAAGCGUGGGGAGCAAACAGGAUUAGAUACCCCAGUAGUCC